GGGCGAUUAGCUCAGUUGGUAGAGCAUCUCCCUUACAAGGACGGGGGUCACUGGUUCGAGCCCGGUAUCGCCCACCA
RNAcentral lists this transfer RNA (77 nucleotides) under Morganella morganii. RNAcentral's name for it is "tRNA-Val". It matches the Rfam family "tRNA". From Rfam's summary of the family: Transfer RNA (tRNA) molecules are approximately 80 nucleotides in length. Lineage: Bacteria; Pseudomonadati; Pseudomonadota; Gammaproteobacteria; Enterobacterales; Morganellaceae. The record is from RNAcentral.